GAUCAUGGCUCAGGAUGAACGCUAGCUACAGGCUUAACACAUGCAAGUCGAGGGGCAGCAUUGGGGUAGCAAUACUCAGAUGGCGACCGGCGCACGGGUGAGUAACACGUAUCCAACCUGCCGCUUACUCGGGGAUAGCCUUUCGAAAGAAAGAUUAAUACCCGAUGGUAUAAAGAGUUCGCAUGUUCUCUUUAUUAAAGAAUUUCGGUAAGCGAUGGGGAUGCGUUCCAUUAGAUAGUUGGCGGGGUAACGGCCCACCAAGUCUACGAUGGAUAGGGGUUCUGAGAGGAAGGUCCCCCACAUUGGAACUGAGACACGGUCCAAACUCCUACGGGAGGCAGCAGUGAGGAAUAUUGGUCAAUGGACGAGAGUCUGAACCAGCCAAAGUAGCGUGAAGGAUGACUGCCCUAUGGGUUGUAAACUUCUUUUAUAAGGGAAUAAAGUGAGGGACGUGUCCCUUUUUGUAUGUACCUUAUGAAUAAGGAUCGGCUAACUCCGUGCCAGCCGCCGC
This 511-nucleotide ribosomal RNA is filed under the name uncultured bacterium. RNAcentral describes it as "bacterial SSU rRNA". It matches the Rfam family "Bacterial small subunit ribosomal RNA", at positions 15 to 518 of the family's 1533-position model. The record is from RNAcentral.